Panonychus citri (citrus red mite) is the source of this 586-nucleotide long non-coding RNA. RefSeq lists it as uncharacterized. The transcript has 2 exons. Lineage: Eukaryota; Metazoa; Arthropoda; Arachnida; Trombidiformes; Tetranychidae. The record is from RefSeq and is a predicted model, not a curated record.
CAAUAUUUUGGUUAUUCGUUGUUACAAUUUUAUCUGAUUGAAUUGGAUUUACACUCUCACCAUUAAAUUAGUAGUUUGAUUGAUUAUUAACUGUUAAUCUUUCAAUUGAAACUAUUUUGUCUAACCUGAUAAAAGAUUGUGAUUUUCAAGGUUUCUUAUUAACAACUUGGUUUUCAAUUUACCGUCUCUUUUUGUAACAAUUAACUCAUUAACUUUUUUCAAUAACUUGAAUGUUUAUUGGAAAAAAUUACUUUUGUAAUACUUAUUGAAUGUGUAUUGAUUUGGAUACAAAGAAAAUCAAUGCUAAGUGAGAUUAAUUGUAUCAAUCAAUAAAUUGAAAACAUAAUCAUUGUAUUGGAAUAGACAAAACUACGAAUUGAUCUCUCUCUUUUUCCCAACUAAUCACCAUGUUGACAUAAUGAAUGUUUUUCAUUUAGAUAAUAAUAAUACUAAAUUGACCUCAAUUGAGAAAAUUGUAAUUCCGCAAUUAAAUGAAUCAUAAAUUGUAAAUCCAUAAAAUAACAAUCGGGUUAAAAUAACCCAAAGAAACCCAAGAGGAAUCAAUAAACAACCAAUAUAACAAAAA